UUAUUACUUAUUGCCUACUACUUACUAUGACAAAAAGAAUAAUUAGAUACAGUUUCAACUAAUUUUGGUAAUAUUUUUGAAAAUGCGUUUAUUACAGUACUUUUUAAAAAUAAAGAUAAUAUAUAGUUUAGAUCAUGUAAAUAAUAAUUACAAUGGUUAAAUCAUACGACUAACUUUACUUUACAUAAGAAACCUUUAUGUUAGAAGAGGUUCAUCAAUAAUAAGAACACCUAUGGGGUUAAGCAGUGAUCACAGUAAAAGGGGUUGCAACCCUUUUAACCAGCUGCAUUAGUUCAUUCUAGGUACAAAAAAGGGUGCACAAAAUCAAAAUGGCUCCUAUGCAGUAAAAAAGGUCUUUGCCGGCAGGGCAUAUGUUAGCGAGUGCGCACUAUCAGACUGAAUCGCAUAUCAUUGGGGAGCAGAGACUUACAGUGUGCAGUAAAGAAAAAAAAGGGUAAACAGCCUUUUAUUUUUUAGCCAACCACAGUGCUUCAUGCAAAAGAGUCCAAAGGGUUCCUGCCGUCCGCUGUAGUCGUACAAUACCGAUAGUAACGCUACAGUUGUGUUCUUGUGUUCGAUAUACACACUUGUAUUGGUUUUGGUUUGUUAUUUUAUUUUUUUUUAUAAAACGUGUUUUUAAUUUAUAAAACUUUUACUCCAGUGUUUGUUAUAAGUGCAUAUAAUUUUUUUUUUUAAAUAGCCAGCAAAAAAGGAUUAAUUAUUAUGAAUAUGUUUAAAAGAAAUUGGACUGUAAUGGUCUCAAAUACAAUUGUUUUUCGUAAUUAGUACGAGUACAUUGCAGUGGACGGAUAUUUUCAUGAUAUAUAUUGGACAUGUUGCCUAUACAGAUCGCCGUCCAAUACACUUAUGAACGAGAUAAGGAGAAAACGGUCUCCCGCCCGGAAUCAUUUCGAGAAUAACAAUGAAGACGGUUUUAAUUCCAGCAUUGUACAGCGAGCCGAAGCUUUUAUUAACGUCCAAAGCUCUACGGGCUUUUAAUAUAUAUAUGUACGUGUAUAUGUAUGGGAUGGAUGAAAAGCCGAGGCAGCGGUCCCGGAAACAGAGAUGGAAAGAUGUACGGUUCUAGUUACAAUGAAUUUGCUGCAAGUAUCCUGUUUGAGCUGUGGAAGAAAUAACAAAAAUUAAUACAAACAGAUUUGAAUGCGGUUUAAUGUAUUAUGGUUUAUCGGAAACGUAAUACAUUAGAAAUCACAUUAAGAUUUUUUGGAUAUUCACACAUCACACUAUGAUCAACAUAUAUUAAGAUGGUGAUUGGUUGAACUGACUUUAUAGUCAUUUGUUCAACAAAUGAUUUUUUUGGACCAUUAACACUUAAUAAUUUGAGUCAUUUUUUUCAGCUCUUUUGUACAUUAUUCAGAACCCUUUGUUUCCUAUAUUACUAUGAUUUGAAGUUCAGCUACGAAGACGCACCUGUUCUAAACAAAAACGUACCUACAUCGUCUUAAAACAUAAGUUAAGUUAUGAGUAUAUACUUGAACAGGGUAUAGUUGUACAAUACUACUUACUGUUGUUAUCGCUAUUUUAAAAUAUACUGCUGAUUAGUUUUUUCAGGUAUAAAACAGCAGCUACACGCCUACACAUCAUACAAUCAAAGCGAAAACGAUGUCGUCAUGUUGAUAUAACUUUAAAAUUCAGUUAGUAAAUAGUUGUAAAUAGUUAUCACGGGCACCUAUAAUAGCGGAGUAAAAUUUGACUGUAUAUUUGUAUAACAGUAUGUUUUGUAAUUUUGUUGAUUAGUUAUUUUAUUAAGUUCGAUAUAAAAUUAACAUACCAUAUUAAAUAUUAUAAUGUAUACUGUAUUGGUAGAACAAAACGCGACAGAAAACAGAAUCCAUGUUUUUUGGUACACGUUUGCAACCGUUUUAGAACGUAUAAUAAUUCGGGCCGUAUAACAAUAAUAAUAAUAUUCACACAAAUACCAUAAUACAGUCGCAUACGAAUGGAAGAGAAUCGCGUGUAUAAUAAUACGAUGAUAUAAUAUUAUGCGGCGAUGGGGUUAGUCAGUUAGGUGUCGUAUGUGGUCGUGUGGGAGGAGAGCCACGUUGCAAAAACUUAAAAAUAAAAAAAAGUCGGCUAUGGUGGGCCAAUCGAAAAGCAAUCCCGUCUUCGGCGCAAAAGAAAACGUGUGUAUAUACAUUGGCUGUCGGGUGCUGUGGUAGUGGGUAGUGGAGGUUAUAUUGCCGUCCGAUAAAAAGGAAACUCCUCUUUAUUCCUGGGCGGGGUGGAAAGUGGAAAAAAAACUAAAAACGAAAAAAGGAAAAAGAAAGUAUGGGCGGGAGGGCGUUAGGUGGGGAGAAAAUAGAAAGAAUAUAAGGAAAGGAUAAAGGACCGUUUUCCAUCCCGAGAUUUCGUCCCGGACGCAAAAUAAUGUAUACGACCACCACCACCACCACCACCACCACCACUACCACUACUACCACAUCGUAUAUAAUAUAUAUAUAUAUACACACGGGCGCGGAUUGUAAAUGCGCGAGCUUUACACAUGAUUGCGUCCGAACGGUUACCAACAGCAACGGUCCCCACGCCGCAGCAUCCGAUAUCGUCUCCCUGCCGAUAUAUCUCUCCCCCGCCCAUCACUAGCGUGUACCGCCGCCGCCGCCGUGGGAUUUUAAUACAACCGACUUUCAUUGCGGUAAAAAUAAUGCUACCCUCCCCGGCACCAGCCGAAGGGCGGGCGGGCGGUCGCGUGCAAGCGCAGUCCACCGCUCUCCACCGCGCGCGGUCCGGAUCGCACCACCCCGCCGAUGCGCCUCCCCUCUGUCACAAGCGCGUCUUCCACUCCCAAAAGCGACCCGAAAAGCACCCUUUUUCGCGAAAUCGUAGGCAAUAAUCAAUAAUUAUACAUACAUACACACACACACACACACAAACAUAUAUAUACGUACGAGCCGACACACACAAACACACACACACACUGCAAACGACGGUACACACACGGUGUGUAUAUAUAUAAUAUGAAUGUGUAGGGCCCUCGUUUCGAAUUCACCACCACUCUCCUCCUGCCGACGUCUCGAAGGAUUCGGCCGACGAUUAGCCAGCCGGCAACGGACUCAGUGGUGCACGUCGUGUGUAUAUAUAUACCUACAUAUUAUAUGUAUAUACGGUGUGCUUGCAGCGGUGACGUGCGUGCGCGCGCGCGCUUACACGCACGUAGGGUGUACGACCUUUGCCCGUUUUCCUCGGUAAAUGUCUGUAAGUCCUUUACUCGGCACCCCACCCCAAAGGGGUACGAGUGAACGACCGAGAUGGAGAGAGAAAUACUAAAUAUAAGUAUAUAUUACACUGGACAUUUAUGCAUGAUACACGUAAUAUAUUAUGCAUGGACCUUAUAUGCGGCUUAUGUUAUAUAAAUAUAUAUAUAUAUAUGCAAGAUGUGUAUAUAGCUUGAAUUGUGAUAAAUACCCAACUAGGUUUAUCGUUACAAUAAUGUUUGCCAGUGUGGCGCUGCAGCGACCUAAUUUUUGAAUUUAUGUAGGUAUAGGCGCACAAUUUGUUGAAGACCCGCAGUAUAAUCUCAUUUUCACUUCACUAAGUACAAUCUCAUUAUGUAUUUAUGUCGUACCGAGUACAUUGUUUCACCGCGUCAUCGACUACACAUAACUUUUAACACAUCACCGUCCACCGCGGUUCCCGAAAAACGUCUCAUCGUAUGGCCACCGAUUGAAAUUUAGAACCGAUUGAACAUUAACCAUAUAUACGUCUAUUAUAUAAUACGUUCUAUGGACCGUAUUUGUUGAGCGUCCAUAAUGUUCGUCGAGUCAAUCUAUUAAAAGAAAAAUUAACACUCUUUAUAUAUAUAUAUAUAUAGGUGUAACAACUCUAAAGGUCGAAGUAAGUCUAGAUUGGUGUUCGAUGUAAAAGUUUCGAUCAAUUAUUUGUAUGCGUCUAUUCUUUAAGCGUAUAGAAAUUAUACUCGUAGUUCAGAUUUUAUACUUUUCGACUCACGAUCAAUUUAUUUUAAUACUGAUUUAAGCAAAACCAUAUAUUAGACGUAUACGUGCCGAGAUACGGUGUACCGGUGAUUGGCAUAAUUAGCGAAAUGAUCGUAACACAGUCUCUGUUCGGGGUUUUCAACAAAACGAUUUAGUUUUAUAGCCCUUAUACGACGUUUGCCGUCGAUAUACGUGUCUAGACUUUGGUUUCGCACGAAGCGUGGGGAAAGUCGCGGGACGUUUAGAACAAGAGACACCUUAUCAAUUAAAAUAUCGUUUCCGUAUCCCCACCGGAGUUUUUGUGGACAAUUAAAUAGCAUCCGAGGUAUGAAGAGACCAGAAAUAAGUAUAUCAACUAACCCAACGCGGGCGCCAAAUCGUCAAACCAGAAAAUCGAAAAGAGUUGAAUAAAAAUAACGCGAUCGUUUCGCCGUCGAAUCCGUCGCGUUUAGAUGACUGUAUAUCGGAAUAGUUCGGUGCCGUUUCAUUAAAACACGAUGAGGCGUAAAAUAAUGUCAAAAAUAAAAACAAAAAAAAAUUCACAAAACAAUGUGUCUCAUGGAGAGCUGUAAUUCCGCCUACCUGUAAUGGAAUAAUAUAUACAUAUUGCUCGUUUCGGUCGGUGAGCAAAGUGUGUGAGAACAGCAAAUCAGCGGUGCGGAGCUGCACUAUACGCGCCGCCGCCAACACGAACAAUUUCAAUAAAAUAUAUAAUAACAAUGAUUUAAUUACGAUUGUAUCGCAGUAAUAAUCCCCACUGGAAGGCAAAAUGAUGGGCGAUUUACCGGUGGUCGAUGAGUAUAAUUUCAUAUAAAUACGUGCAUGGUGAUUCAUUUAAAACAGAGCAUAUUGCUAUCUUGGUCGAUAGCAUUUACGUAAUUUAAAGUAGGUAAUACACACUAUAUAACAUUAUGUCUUCAUACAAAUUCUUUAUCGUGUUGACUCUUUUUUAGAGUUUUCAAUAUUUAUAUUUAUGAUGCAUUUAAGUAUUUUUUUCAUGAAAACAUAUAAUAUUAUGUUAAAUGUUCAUAGGGUAUAUUUUUAAAUUUAAUCCGAUGUAUUCAGUAGUUGAUAUGUUAAGUUAACAUCAGCGAGUUGCGCAAAAUGCAUACCUAUUACACGUGGAAACGUGGAAUCGAAAAUAAUCACUAGGCACGAUGAAAAUUAGCAAAAAGUCAUAUCUUUUAUAGUCGAUCUGUAUAGUGUCAUAUUAUAUAAAAUAAUAUUUUUUCUCUAUCAAAAUGUCGAAAGUUGAUAGAAACGAUGGCGGCGAUGUUUUGCGCUGAACGAAUCGCCUUGUAUACGGUGGAAAGGUGUGAGUACAAUGUACAUCCUAGACUUCCGCUCAUACGCACACAUCAUUAUUGAACUACCUACGUUUUAUUAGACAAACGCGAGAGAGAAACGUCAUAAUCCGUACCUAUCCGUUCUGUUAAUUAUUUAACCUAUAAAUAAUUGCCUCACACGCUAAAUGGGAUACAUAUUACAUUUUAAGUCAUAUAACAAAUUAACUACACAAAUGUAACCUAUAUAUUUUUAUUAUUGUAUAGUAAGUAUUGAGACAAGAAUUGUCUUUGUCGUCCGUCCUAACUUUUGAAACGAAUUUAUUCUACAUAUUAUAAUAUUAUAGAGUAGGUAGUAGGAAGUAUUGUCGUGCAACAAGGUUGUAGAAAAAUAAAUGAUAAAUUAUUUGAAGCCAGUGAAUAUAAGAAUAAAGUAUAUUUGUUUAUCGUGCCUAAAUCUCAACGUUAUCGAAAUAUAAUUAUACGUGCAAUUUGUUGCUGUAAAUUGUAACUAAUUAUAAUUUAAUUAAAUUAUAUUGUAAAGUCACAAACUCAAAACAUACACCAAGAUUCAACGAGGCAGCUCACCAUAAUAAUUUAUUGUUCGUUCUUUAAAAUAAAUUUAUUCAAUUUAUGAUUUUUGAAGCUUUUUAGUAUGUACAUCAUUCAUAUACUUAACCAUAUUUUCAAAUACUUAAUUAAUAUACCAUUUAUAGGUUAAGAUUAUUCUGUGGUGAUACAAAUAUCCAAGUUUUUUUUCAUUAUUAAAGGAUUAAAUGGGAGGGGGGGGGGGGUUGAGCUUGCUAGGUGAAUCGUGGUGUACGUCGCUUAUGUAUCACAAAUGAUAGGAUUUAAGAAUCAAACAUAUCAACGUUAUUAUAGUCAUUGAUUGGAAGUAACUAUCUACGACAUUUGUAGCAACGCAAAGAGCGAUAUAAAUAGUGUGUAGUUAUUGAUUUCGUAAUAAACGUUUAUAUAUACCUAUAGGUAUUAAAAUAUCGUCCAUUGUAACAGUCUUACAUUUAGCUAUACUAUUGCAAUGCUACUUUUUUUCUCAAGCGUCUACAGUUUCUAAUUGAUAAGAUGUUUCUAUUUUAUACUGAACAAAAAUAAAUAAGACUAACUUCAAAUAAUCUAAAAAACGGUUUUGCAUCAUAAGCCAUAACGAAAUGCCGAAAUGACAUCGCGGACAUAACAUGCAGAACCUACGCACGACUGGUAAAAUAUGAAAAUAUAUUAGGUACGUUAGGCAUAUACAUUAUGGUUUUUUCUUGAGAUUUCUUUUUCCAAUUGGGGAGUGUGGACUGUGGACUAAAGAUACUAUAUUUCUAAAUAAAAAAUAAAAAAAGUAGCGUAUUAAAAAUAAUUAUGAAGCGCCCUCUACAUUUGCAUUAAAAUAGCGAUAUGGAUGAAGUGUACCUAUUUUUUUUUUUUUUAUUACGUUUGGUGAUAUCGCACUUUAAUGUUAAUAUCACGUGUUGUGACGUGACUUACAACCACCGAAUUAAUGCCUAUUACAGCCGUUACAGCGAAUGACAACCGAAAAUCGUCAUAGUUAUGCGUUUGAAAUCAUAAAACCUUAGUUUAUUUUUAGUGCGGUACGAAAACGCGGAAAACAGUCUUGCGGUUUUCGUGAUAAAAAAUAAAUAAAACUAUCUCCAUUGACGAAACGCAAUUUGAUUUCUAUAAAAUUCGCCCCGCACGCUGCACAUGCGCUGGCCGCGUCGGCUGACAGAUAAAAAUACGUCUUCGCGUCGACUUUAUGGUUCUCAGAUAACGAAAUAUAAUAAUACAUAAAUGUACCCGAACUUUAGUGGCACUUAUGUGACAUAACUCGUAUGCUUUCUCAUAACGGGAGGGUCUUAAAGCUUUUUUAAUAACUUAACGAGACACGGAAUACGACGUUUUGUCAAAAAAAAAAAAAAAGAAACAAAAGCCACUGGAUGUAUGGUUUUUAUUUUUUAUUAUUUGAUUGCCGGUCGAGACGAUAAAAUUCGCUCGGCUCUCCCCGGACCUCCGGAUUUGGUGCUAUUAACAAAAUCCAAAUAAAUAUUAAAUUUUAUUCGUUAAACUUCGAAAAAUUCUAGUCGGAGUUUUUUUAUUUUCAUUUUCAUUUUCAUUUUGUUUUUUAAUGAAAUUUAUGCCUUUUAUAUUUUCCGUUUCCAUGUUAUAGUUUGAAAAAUGUCAACAUAAUUUCACUAUAAAACCACAAGCACGCUAAGGUAUAAAAAUGUUUAAUGCAUGAUCGUAAUAUAAUAGGCGAGUGCAGACAUUGUUGGCAGACUGUAGUCACAUGUUUAAUUAUUUAUUUAUGAUUUAUACACAAGUUUUAUCUCAACAACAGUUUUCCUAUUCCAACCCCUUGUCAUUAGUAAAGUCAGCUUGAGUAAUUCUUAAAUUAUAUUAUCUUAAAAAAAAAUUAUAUAUAUAUGCACAUAAAUAAAUAAUUGUUAUUAAAAUAUUAUAAUUUACGUAAAAUUAAUUGAUAA
Acyrthosiphon pisum (pea aphid) is the source of this 7725-nucleotide long non-coding RNA. RefSeq lists it as uncharacterized. The record is from RefSeq and is a predicted model, not a curated record. The transcript has 7 exons. NCBI's taxonomy places the organism in Eukaryota, Metazoa, Arthropoda, Insecta, Hemiptera, Aphididae.